GGGAGGUAGUGACAAUAAAUAACAAUACGGGUUCUUUCGGAUCUCGUAAUUGGAAUAAGUACAAUUUAAAUCUCUUAACGAGGAACAAUUGGAGGGCAAGUCUGGUGCCAGCAGCCGCGGUAAUUCCAGCUCCAAUAGCGUAUAUUAAGGUUGUUGCAGUUAAAAAGCUCGUAGUUGAAUUUCGGGGUCAGCAAGUUGGUCGUGCCACUGGUAUGCACUGGCUUUGCUGAUUCCUCCUUCUUGUAGAACCGUAAUGCCAUUAAGUUGGUGUUGCGGGAAAACAGGACUGUUACUUUGAAAAAUUAGAGUGUUUAAAGCAAGCAUUAGCUUGAAUACAUUAGCAUGGAAUAAUGAAAUAGGACGUUUGAUCCUAUUUCGUUGGUUUCUAGGAUCGACGUAAUGAUUAAUAGGGAUAGUUGGG
Molecule: ribosomal RNA, 421 nt
Filed under: uncultured Glomeraceae
Lineage: Eukaryota; Fungi; Glomeromycota; Glomeromycetes; Glomerales; Glomeraceae
Description: SSU rRNA
Rfam family: Eukaryotic small subunit ribosomal RNA
Source: RNAcentral